CCCAAGUCAUCACCAUGAAAGCAUGAAACUUUAGUCACCUACCCAAGGGGAUUCAUGGACAUAUUUCAAGAAUUUUCUCCAAGGGACCGUGCUUAUAGACUACCUGGUCAGGGUAGGAAUGAAGCCAGGGAGCCAAAGGAAGGCUUCCAGCCAGGGAGAGCAAACUGAAGGAAACUGCCUCCAGUGCCAGUGCCAUUGGGUUAUAGCAGAAUAGCCUGUGCAGUUCGUGAGACUCCAUCGAGGGAUUAGAGCUCAGUGAUGAUCUUUCUGACACGUGGAUUUGGGGACUUGUCUGACCAUUUAAGUGUGCUGUUACAUCUGUGACUUUCCAGCAGUGUGCCUGUGACCAUGGAGACACCCUCAUGGAGCAUCAAUUGAGACAAGUACUACAGGAUCCACUCUGGGAGCUCCGGUCAGACUUGUAAAGGCACAUCCACAGCACAGAUGUGGAGUAUCCCUCCCAAGGGGUGCAGCUAAGCAGAUCAAGCCGCUGCCUACAGCUGGGUUUUCCAUCUAGUCACUGGGUCGCAACAAGCUAACUUCAGCUGCCACCACUCAGAGGCCAAUGAGGAGAGUCUAUAAAAUUCCCCUCAAGUUCUCUUUGUUAGUGAUCUAACACGCAGAAUUUUCAUCUUUCCUUCCUGACUGCCAGCCCUCCUGACCAAGAGUAAACCCAGGCCCACCACCUGAUGAUUCACUGGGAUUCACAGAGGUGGUUGCCACAAAGAGCCAACAACCUUCCAUAGACUUUAGUAUCAACCUUCUUCAUAGUUCCACUCCAGCAGCAGCUCGAAGUGGGUCUUCCAGAUCACCAGGCAGCUGUCCUCCAAGUGGUGAUGUGAGACCAAGCUCCUUCUACCUGAUGACUCCACCAUCUUCAACUCUGGCCCCCCGGGUCAUCCUGGAGCCCAAUAUCCACCAGCAGAGCAAGAGGAGAGGACAUAGAAGUGUGCAAGGAGGUUUUUAUGGGCCAGGCCUGAAGCUGCAUACAUUACUUCUACACCCAUUCCACUGUCCAGAACUCAGUCUCACGGUUGCAUCUCACUACUGGGAAGACUGGGAAACAUAGUCCAGCAGUCACUGCCCCAGCCAUAAUUUUUAGUAAUAGAAACACAAACAUCACUCCAAUGCAGUUAUGAAUUUUUCUUUAUGUAUUAUGUAAUACUGUUUAUAUUUUUCUCAGUUUUUAGUAUGACACAGAUAUGAAACUAAAAGGCAAGGUGGUGUGGUGAAAUGAGCAGUGGUCUUGGAGACGUGGCUUCUAAUCCUCUGUGAUCUUGGACGUAUCACUCAGCCAAUCUGAACCCCAGUCCUUAUCUGCAGAAUGAUAGGGGUAAAGCCAGCUGGUAACUGUGUAGUCUCCUCUACUCCCAUCUUCCCAGCUCCAAAGGUUUACAGUUUUUUUCACAAAAGUAAUGCAAAAUAAAACAUGCAGUGACUCUCAGAGUAGACAAGUGAUAGGUUACAAGUCUUGGAUGAGUGAAGAUGAGAAGAUUUCUUGAAGAGAAGCAGCUUUAAGCCUGUUCUUGGAGGAGGGACGUCCAAGGAUGUUCAAUGAACUGAGAGGGGAAGAAUUGGUUCUUGGGAACUGCUGCAGGGAGCCUUGUUUGGAGAGAGUAUGGCCCUGGAGUGGACCCUCAGCACAUUGCAGUUUUUCUCUGGACCUAGUCUGGGAAGACAUGGUCUUAGCAAAGACACAAGUGGUUUGCGGCCAAAGAAAGUGCAAACAACUUGAUAAUGUGCCAUCACCGAUAUCCACCAGCACCCCGAGAAGAAACAAGCUACUCAGUGACGAUGUAAGAAUAGCCCAACAGCGACUGAGUCAAACCUGGGAAAACAGGAGAAGUUGUGGGUCCUGACUCCUCACAGUCUUGAGUAAUUCCAUCCUCUCCAGGGCUUCCGGAAGUUGCUACUGUGUGUGUGUGUGUGUGUGUGUGUGUGUGUGUAUCUUUGAGGGGUAAAGAUCAAGAACUGAG
Equus caballus (horse) is the source of this 1976-nucleotide long non-coding RNA. The record is from Ensembl. NCBI's taxonomy places the organism in Eukaryota, Metazoa, Chordata, Mammalia, Perissodactyla, Equidae.